UGGUAGUCCACGCUGUAAACGAUGUCGAUUUGGAGGUUGUGCCCUUGAGGCGUGGCUUCCGGAGCUAACGCGUUAAAUCGACCGCCUGGGGAGUACGGCCGCAAGGUUAAAACUCAAAUGAAUUGACGGGGGCCCGCACAAGCGGUGGAGCAUGUGGUUUAAUUCGAUGCAACGCGAAGAACCUUACCUACUCUUGACAUCCAGAGAACUUUCCAGAGAUGGAUUGGUGCCUUCGGGAACUCUGAGACAGGUGCUGCAUGGCUGUCGUCAGCUCGUGUUGUGAAAUGUUGGGUUAAGUCCCGCAACGAGCGCAACCCUUAUCCUUUGUUGCCAGCGGUUCGGCCGGGAACUCAAAGGAGACUGCCAGUGAUAAACUGGAGGAAGGUGGGGAUGACGUCAAGUCAUCAUGGCCCUUACGAGUAGGGCUACACACGUGCUACAAUGGCAUAUACAAAGAGAAGCGACCUCGCGAGAGCAAGCGGACCUCAUAAAGUAUGUCGUAGUCCGGAUUGGAGUCUGCAACUCGACUCCAUGAAGUCGGAAUCGCUAGUAAUCGUAGAUCAGAAUGCUACGGUGAAUACGUUCCCGGGCCUUGUACACACCGCCCGUCACACCAUGGGAGUGGGUUGCAAAAGAAGUAGGUAGCUUAACCUUCGGGAGGGCGCUUACCACUUUGUGAUUCAUGACUGGG
This 691-nucleotide ribosomal RNA is filed under the name uncultured Serratia sp. RNAcentral describes it as "bacterial SSU rRNA". It matches the Rfam family "Bacterial small subunit ribosomal RNA", at positions 788 to 1479 of the family's 1533-position model. The record is from RNAcentral. Lineage: Bacteria; Pseudomonadati; Pseudomonadota; Gammaproteobacteria; Enterobacterales; Yersiniaceae.